GGGAUCGUCGUAUAACUUGGUUAGUACUCCAGGUUUGGGACCUGGUAAUCUCGGUUCAAAUCCGAGCGGUCUCA
Molecule: transfer RNA, 74 nt
Filed under: bacterium
Lineage: Bacteria
Description: tRNA-Pro
Rfam family: tRNA
About the family: Transfer RNA (tRNA) molecules are approximately 80 nucleotides in length. Their secondary structure includes four short double-helical elements and three loops (D, anti-codon, and T loops). Further hydrogen bonds mediate the characteristic L-shaped molecular structure. tRNAs have two regions of fundamental functional importance: the anti-codon, which is responsible for specific mRNA codon recognition, and the 3' end, to which the tRNAs corresponding amino acid is attached (by aminoacyl-tRNA synthetases). tRNAs cope with the degeneracy of the genetic code in two manners: having more than one tRNA (with a specific anti-codon) for a particular amino acid; and 'wobble' base-pairing, i.e. permitting non-standard base-pairing at the 3rd anti-codon position.
Source: RNAcentral